UGCGUAGGCGGAAAAUUAAGUCAGUGGUGAAAUCCUGCAGCUCAACUGUAGAACUGUCAUUGAUACUGAUUUUCUUGAAUACAGUUGAGGUAGGCGGAAUGUGUAAUGUAGCGGUGAAAUGCUUAGAUAUUACACAGAACACCGAUUGCGAAGGCAGCUUACUAAGCUAUGAUUGACGCUGAGGUACGAAAGCGUGGGGAGCGAACAGGAUUAGAUACCCUGGUAGUCC
This 229-nucleotide ribosomal RNA is filed under the name uncultured bacterium. RNAcentral's name for it is "partial 16S ribosomal RNA". It matches the Rfam family "Bacterial small subunit ribosomal RNA", at positions 568 to 796 of the family's 1533-position model. The record is from RNAcentral.